GACCGCUUGGCCUAAUGGAUAAGGCGUUACCCUCCGGAGGUAAAGAUUCCGAGUUCAAGUCUUGGAGUGGUCG
This is a non-coding RNA of Ochromonadaceae sp. CCMP2298, 73 nucleotides long. The record is from the annotation of a GenBank genome assembly. Lineage: Eukaryota; Synurophyceae; Ochromonadales; Ochromonadaceae.